CCUACGGGAGGCAGCAGUGAGGAAUAUUGGUCAAUGGCCGGAAGUCUGAACCAGCCAAGCCGCGUGAAGGACGAAGGUGCCAAGCAUUGUAAACUUCUUUUGUCAAGGGAUAAAAUCAGUCUCGAGAGCCUGACCGAGGGUACUGGAAGAAAAAGCAUCGGCUAACUCCGUGCCAGCAGCCGCGGUAAUACGGAGGAUGCGAGCGUUAUCCGGAUUUAUUGGGUUUAAAGGGUGCGUAGGCGGGCUGUUAAGUCAGGGGUAAAAGUCCGGGGCUCAACCCCGGCAAGCCGCUGAAACUGGCUGUCUUGAGAUGGCCGGAGGUAUGCGGAAGGCGUAGUGUAGCGGUGAAAUGCUUAGAUAUUGCGCAGAACUCCGAUUGCGAAGGCAGCAUACCGGCGGCGAUCUGACGCUGAGGCACGAAGGCGUGGGUAUCGAACAGGAUUAGAUACCCUUGUAGUC
RNAcentral lists this ribosomal RNA (459 nucleotides) under uncultured bacterium. RNAcentral describes it as "partial 16S ribosomal RNA". It matches the Rfam family "Bacterial small subunit ribosomal RNA", at positions 338 to 795 of the family's 1533-position model. The record is from RNAcentral.